UAACCACUGACUGACUAACGUAUGUUGC
Molecule: non-coding RNA, 28 nt
Filed under: Bombyx mori (domestic silkworm)
Lineage: Eukaryota; Metazoa; Arthropoda; Insecta; Lepidoptera; Bombycidae
Source: RNAcentral